AUGACAGCUCCUUGCCUUCCUAUUGUCGUGCUACUGGUCAUCUCGGUGGCAGCCAUAGUACCCGGUGCCAGUGCUGCUUCUCCGUCUCCAACAAGCGUCAACGGUAGCGACACCGAUUUUGCCGCGCUACUGGCUUUCAAAGCCCACAUCUCUGAUCCUCAGGGCAUCCUUGCAAGCAACUGGACCAGCAGCACAUCUUUCUGUCAUUGGAUCGGCGUCUCGUGCAGCCGGUGCAGGCAACGUGUCACGGCUGUGGAGCUGCCGUACGUGCCGCUCCGUGGAUCGCUCGCUCCUCACCUUGGUAACCUCUCCUUCCUCUCCAUCAUCAACCUUACCAACACCGUCCUGACGGGCGCCGUGUUAAAAUAUAUUGCCCACCUUCCUCCAUCAGUUCAGACUUUUGGAUGA
RNAcentral lists this ribosomal RNA (408 nucleotides) under Triticum aestivum (bread wheat). RNAcentral's name for it is "partial small subunit ribosomal RNA". Lineage: Eukaryota; Viridiplantae; Streptophyta; Magnoliopsida; Poales; Poaceae. The record is from RNAcentral.